RNAcentral lists this ribosomal RNA (497 nucleotides) under uncultured bacterium. Its description in RNAcentral is "partial 16S ribosomal RNA". It matches the Rfam family "Bacterial small subunit ribosomal RNA", at positions 28 to 507 of the family's 1533-position model. The record is from RNAcentral.
GAUGAACGCUGGCGGCGUGCCUAAUACAUGCAAGUCGAGCGAACGGACGAGAAGCUUGCUUUUCUGAUGUUAGCGGCGGACGGGUGAGUAACACGUGGAUAACCUACCUAUAAGACUGGGAUAACUUCGGGAAACCGGAGCUAAUACCGGAUAAUAUUUUGAACCGCAUGGUUCAAAAGUGAAAGACGGUCUUGCUGUCACUUAUAGAUGGAUCCGCGCUGCAUUAGCUAGUUGGUAAGGUAACGGCUUACCAAGGCAACGAUGCAUAGCCGACCUGAGAGGGGGAUCGGCCACGCUGGAACUGAGACACGGUCCAGACUCCUACGGGAGGCAGCAGUAGGGAAUCUUCCGCAAUGGGCGAAAGCCUGACGGAGCAACGCCGCGUGAGUGAUGAAGGUCUUCGGAUCGUAAAACUCUGUUAUUAGGGAAGAACAUAUGUGUAAGUAACUGUGCACAUCUUGACGGUACCUAAUCAGAAAGCCACGGCUAACUACGUG